AAGCUCGUAGUUGAAUUUCGGAGUUUGUCGGUUGGUCGGGCUUCACUGUCCGCACUGGCCUGAUGGAUUCCUACCUUCUGAAUAACCAGCAUGCUAUUAAGUUAGUGCGUUGGGGAAGCAGAGCUAUUACCUUGAAAAAAUUAGAGUGCUUAAAGCAGGCUUAUGCUUGAAUAGAUUAGCAUGGAAUAAUAAAAUAGGACGGCAUGGUUCUAUUUUGUUGGUUUCUAGGAUCACCGUAAUGAUUAAUAGGGAUAGUUGGG
Molecule: ribosomal RNA, 260 nt
Filed under: uncultured Acaulospora
Lineage: Eukaryota; Fungi; Glomeromycota; Glomeromycetes; Diversisporales; Acaulosporaceae
Description: partial 18S ribosomal RNA
Rfam family: Eukaryotic small subunit ribosomal RNA
Source: RNAcentral